This 98-nucleotide non-coding RNA is filed under the name Enterococcus faecalis. Its description in RNAcentral is "Guanine sequence". It matches the Rfam family "Purine riboswitch aptamer". Rfam says of the family: Riboswitches are metabolite binding domains within certain messenger RNAs that serve as precision sensors for their corresponding targets. Allosteric rearrangement of mRNA structure is mediated by ligand binding, and this results in modulation of gene expression. A class of riboswitches that selectively recognises guanine and becomes saturated at concentrations as low as 5 nM. Lineage: Bacteria; Bacillati; Bacillota; Bacilli; Lactobacillales; Enterococcaceae. The record is from RNAcentral.
UUACAUAAGAUAAAAACUACUUAUAUAUUGUCGUAAUAUGGUCGACAGUCUCUACCUGAUGCCGUGAACAUCGGACUAUAAGUAAAAAAGGAUCGCCU